Molecule: non-coding RNA, 30 nt
Filed under: Rattus norvegicus (Norway rat)
Lineage: Eukaryota; Metazoa; Chordata; Mammalia; Rodentia; Muridae
Source: RNAcentral
AUGGUUGUGAGCCACCAUGUAGGUGCUGGG